Molecule: ribosomal RNA, 467 nt
Filed under: uncultured bacterium
Lineage: Bacteria
Description: partial 16S ribosomal RNA
Rfam family: Bacterial small subunit ribosomal RNA
Source: RNAcentral
ACGAACGCUGGCUGCGUGCUUAACACCUGCAAGUCGAACGGUGAAGCUCCAGCUUGCUGGAGUGGAUCAGUGGCGAACGGGUGAGUAACACGUGAGCAACCUGCCCCUGACUCUGGAAUAAGCGCUGGAAACGGCGUCUAAUACUGGAUACGAGAAGGGUCCGCAUGGGCACUUUCUGGAAAGUUUUUCGGUUGGGGAUGGGCUCGCGGCCUAUCAGCUUGUUGGUGAGGUAAUGGCUCACCAAGGCGACGACGGGUAGCCGGCCUGAGAGGGCGACCGGCCACACUGGGACUGAGACACGGCCCAGACUCCUACGGGAGGCAGCAGUGGGGAAUAUUGCACAAUGGGCGAAAGCCUGAUGCAGCGACGCCGCGUGAGGGAUGACGGCCUUCGGGUUGUAAACCUCUUUCAGCAGGGAAGAAGCGAAAGUGACGGUACCUGCAGAAGAAGCACCGGCUAACUACGUG